This 661-nucleotide long non-coding RNA is filed under the name Pan troglodytes (chimpanzee). Its description in RNAcentral is "long non-coding RNA NONPTRT001687". Lineage: Eukaryota; Metazoa; Chordata; Mammalia; Primates; Hominidae. The record is from RNAcentral.
UUUUGGUUUAAGAACUGACUCCUGGUUGAUCACACAGGGACCUUCUCCUGCAGGGAUUCUGAGAACCACAGAGUGAUUGUGUUUUGGAAGCAAACCCAGAGAGCUGUUUGAAGAACGGAGUCAUGUGGAGAGGGGAGACACUGGCUCCACUGAUUGAUUCUCAUCAAUUUUGGGGUGUUUGACUUUUGUGGCUCUGUUUGAAAGAGUCAAUGUGAAAAUGAAAAAUGCAUGGGCAACUCUGUUAACUGGCAACAAAGGCUCAGCAAAAGAAAUCCAAGAGGACAAACACACAGGAAAACUUGAAAAACCAAGACCAUCUGUUUCACACGGAAGAGCACAAUUACUUCAGUAUGUUUCUGGUCAGCAAGACGAGUUCGCUAAAGCCACCCUCACGCAGUGGGCUACUGAGCAUGCAAAUUAAUGGCAUUCUUCCUAUUAGGGUCCCCAGAUGUUUACACUGAUGGUUACUAGGAAUGUUAGUAAAAGUGGUCACACUGGAUUUCUUUAAAUACUUUUUCAAGAUAUUCUUCUAAUGCAGUUACCCAAAAUACAGUGCUUUACUAGUGUUAGUUGACUGUGGGAAAAGAAAUGUAUUUAAUGCAAAGAGCAGUGAACUAAGUUUAGGAACACUGGGCUCCUAACUGAUGUCUUGCCUCUGAAC